GCCCCAGACUCCUACGGGAGGCAGCAGUGGGGAAUAUUGCACAAUGGGGGAAACCCUGAUGCAGCGACGCCGCGUGAGCGAUGAAGUAUUUCGGUAUGUAAAGCUCUAUCAGCAGGGAAGAAAAUGACGGUACCUGACUAAGAAGCCCCGGCUAACUACGUGCCAGCAGCCGCGGUAAUACGUAGGGGGCAAGCGUUAUCCGGAUUUACUGGGUGUAAAGGGAGCGUAGACGGCAUGGCAAGCCAGAUGUGAAAUACCGGGGCUCAACCCCGGGACUGCAUUUGGAACUGUUGGUCUUGAGUAUCGGAGAGGCAGGCGGAAUUCCUAGUGUAGCGGUGAAAUGCGUAGAUAUUAGGAGGAACACCAGUGGCGAAGGCGGCCUGCUGGACGACAACUGACGGUGAGGCGCGAAAGCGUGGGGAGCAAACAGGAUUAGAUACCCCUGUACU
This 449-nucleotide ribosomal RNA is filed under the name uncultured bacterium. Its description in RNAcentral is "bacterial SSU rRNA". It matches the Rfam family "Bacterial small subunit ribosomal RNA", at positions 328 to 794 of the family's 1533-position model. The record is from RNAcentral.